GAUGAACGCUAGCGGCAGGCCUAACACAUGCAAGUCGAGGGGUAACUAGAGUGAUAGCAAUAUUACUUUGGCUAGACCGGCGCACGGGUGCGUAACACGUAUGCAACCUACCUUAUACUGGGGAAUAACUUCGAGAAAUCGGCGCUAAUACCCCAUAACAUUGCGAAGAGGCAUCUCUUUGCAAUUAAAGCUACGGCGGUAUAAGAUGGGCAUGCGUCCAAUUAGCUAGUUGGUGAGGUAACGGCUCACCAAGGCUACGAUUGGUAGGGGUUCUGAGAGGAUGAUCCCCCACACUGGUACUGAGACACGGACCAGACUCCUACGGGAGGCAGCAGUGAGGAAUAUUGCGCAAUGGACGGAAGUCUGACGCAGCCAUGCCGCGUGCAGGAUGACGGCCCUAUGGGUUGUAAACUGCUUUUGUACGGGAAUAAACCCUUCUACGUGUAGGAGGCUGAAGGUACCGUAAGAAUAAGCACCGGCUAACUACGUGCCAGCCGCCGCGGUAA
This 506-nucleotide ribosomal RNA is filed under the name uncultured bacterium. RNAcentral's name for it is "partial 16S ribosomal RNA". It matches the Rfam family "Bacterial small subunit ribosomal RNA", at positions 28 to 523 of the family's 1533-position model. The record is from RNAcentral.